UCGGUUUGGUUUUGGUUUUUUUGGUUUCGGUUUCCUUCUUCUCGGUUUGUUUCUGUUCUUCUCUCUCUCUUCGGGUCGUUCUCUCUCCUUCUCUCUUCGGGUCUCUCCUCUCCCUCUCUUCGGUUUUUUCUUCUUUAUUUAUAGGGGCAGCACGGGUAGGGGACCAUGGUUAGUGCGCCUUCAAUCACGCAUGGCUGGUCGGUUC
Molecule: long non-coding RNA, 205 nt
Filed under: Populus tremula
Lineage: Eukaryota; Viridiplantae; Streptophyta; Magnoliopsida; Malpighiales; Salicaceae
Description: long non-coding RNA (PTRE_LNC003302)
Source: RNAcentral